GGGGGCGUGGUCUAGGGGUCAGGACGUCUGCCUUUCACGCAGAAGAUCGCGGGUUCGAAUCCCGCCGCCCCUA
This 73-nucleotide transfer RNA is filed under the name Actinomycetota bacterium. RNAcentral describes it as "tRNA-Glu". It matches the Rfam family "tRNA". From Rfam's summary of the family: Transfer RNA (tRNA) molecules are approximately 80 nucleotides in length. Their secondary structure includes four short double-helical elements and three loops (D, anti-codon, and T loops). Further hydrogen bonds mediate the characteristic L-shaped molecular structure. tRNAs have two regions of fundamental functional importance: the anti-codon, which is responsible for specific mRNA codon recognition, and the 3' end, to which the tRNAs corresponding amino acid is attached (by aminoacyl-tRNA synthetases). tRNAs cope with the degeneracy of the genetic code in two manners: having more than one tRNA (with a specific anti-codon) for a particular amino acid; and 'wobble' base-pairing, i.e. permitting non-standard base-pairing at the 3rd anti-codon position. The record is from RNAcentral. Lineage: Bacteria; Bacillati; Actinomycetota.